This is a long non-coding RNA of Helianthus annuus (common sunflower), 2322 nucleotides long. RefSeq lists it as uncharacterized. The record is from RefSeq and is a predicted model, not a curated record. Lineage: Eukaryota; Viridiplantae; Streptophyta; Magnoliopsida; Asterales; Asteraceae. The transcript has 9 exons.
CCUUAAUAGUAUGGUUAAACAUUCCUCCCUGCCCUUGCUGCCGUUCAUCAGUGCCACGAUUUGAUAAAUGCUCCUCAUGUAUUGCAAAAUUCUUGAAACCCAAUUUAUUGUUGUAACCGUUGGAAUGUGAAAACAAUCAACAAUCAUUAUUACUUGAUUUAAUUUCAUUUGAAGGCCAUUCGUUUGCCAAAUCUUUAAAACCCUUCAUAUCAUUAUUGUUUUCUUUAUUUAAUUUCUAUGUUUCUCUAGAAGCCAGCGACCAGUCAUCGCACAACCACCAUCAAAUGCUGCACACUGUUGAUUCUCCGCCAAGUCGGCUCUGGUGGAUAGAACGAACGACGAAACGAGACCUGCCGAGAUGCGUGACAACGGCAUCCUACAAUUUUGGAUCACCAGGUUCAACUUACCCUUUUCAUCAUAAUCGAUAGUGGCUGCGUUAAUUAAUUCUAGGGUUCUGGCGAAGCCUCGGUCAUAGCCGCCUCCGUCGUCGGAACUAAUAGUUUCCUUCAUGAGAAACAUGUUUAGUUCAUGUGGGAUUGGAAUUGCAUUCUUUCAUAUGAUCCUUAAUCUUCCGCUCGCAAUUGCAAAUACGCUUACCGCCCGGUGAAAUGAUGGAAUUCCCUAAAUUGAUGAGAAAUGGGUGCUUCUCGGUUUCUGUAUAUACGCAGCUACACUGUAUCUGCAUUUUGCCACAUCAGUCAUUAUUCAUGAAAUAACAUCUCUUGGAAUCUACUGUUUUAGGGAUAAGAAUCGCAAAGAAAAAGGCCUGAGACAUGUUCAUGUUUGAUAUGAAGGUUACUACCAGCUCACAAAUUGGAAUUGGAUAUAUCUAAUAUACCCGAGUUUUGUGACCGGUUUCGUAUUUGUUGUUACAGAUUCGGCUGAUCGGAAUCAAGGGUUUCAAAUAAAGUGGUGGAACUUGCAUUAGUUAAUAGACCACAGAGUCAAAGUGGGAUUCAAGGAAACUUUGGGGGUGGUUUUUUGAGUCUUCGACUUGGAGGUAGUGAAGAAUCGGUAUCUACUUCACCUUGCGUCAUGGAUUUAUAGCGGAUUGAAUCAAGGUGAUACUGCUCUUCCAUUAAAGGGUUGGCCCUUGAGUGGAAUGGACGAUUUACACCCUAAUAUGGGUUUGCAAGUACAAAAGCUCAAUAUGCAGAAUCAACAUCAGUUCUAUUUGCCUUGAAACAUGCCCAGGCCCAAGGUAAUAUUGUAACUUCACCAAAUUAUGGGCUUGUUGGAUUAUCUAGAGGCAGUCUAAGUAUGAAAGAUGGUCAAACCACAAGAAAUGAUGGAUCCCCUGGUCAAAUGAAUUCACCCCAGGUUUUGUAUUAACUAUGAACUUAAUAACAAGCAUUAAAUAGUGUGAUUAUAUAAACCAUUAAAAGUACUUUAACGAACCACUAGCCCGCCGUAACUUAGAAAUUACACUACAUCAGUUUAUGAGCAGCAUCUGGUUAUGAGCCCGUAAAAUAUCACAGUCAAUGGCCCUUCAAACGAGUAUUUGGAAUUCAGGUCUGUUAUCAUCAAUCUUAUACCUCAUAAUCUCAAUGCUUUUUUUGAUCUUCAAUCUUAAGCAACGUAUUGUAAUUUUUCCAGGAGCCUGCUUUUGUCGCGUUUUCUGCACUUAACCUUGCAAUGCAUUUUCAUGGGUGGUUAUCGUUCUUCAUCCUCUUGCAUUACAAGCUGCCGGUGAAAGCAGAUAAAAAGCCGUACUAUGAGUAUGCCGGUCUAUGGCAUCUAUAUGCGCUCCUAGCCGUCAUUUGACGCCUCCCUCUACCCUUGAGAAAUCGGUGCCUCCAGGGUAUCUGAAAUUCAUUAGUAAUUUGGAAAAUGAGAUUUUAAAUGCGUCGAUAGAGAAGGAGAUUUUGAAGAUUGAAGUGAUGCGAGCCCAACUGAUGAUCAACAUUCGUCAGUGACUGCUUGACUAAGGAGAAUAAUGAAUUGAGGAAGGGUGUUUAGGUAAUUACAGCUCUAUACUUGUGUUCAUUAUUACUUUAACCAUGUAGCUAAUGAACACAACAAGGUUAUGGGGAAAGGGCCAUUUCUAGGUAACAUGACUCUUUAUCGCUUAUUUUUCUCAGAGAUCUUAGUCAAAUAAAGUCUUAUGUCAAGACCUUCUCCUGUUAUAAGCUGUGGAAAUGCUGCUAGAGUCGGUUAGUGCUGUUAAUCUAUGGUUAGAAGAGAUUAGUUCUGCUCUGUGUUUACAAGCAUAUUUGACAAACAAAAGAUAAAAAGUAUCUAAGCUGUCUUAAUGGCGAUACAUAUAAUAAUCUUGUGUAUAAUACUAAGUGAGAAUAUUUUCUUGAAGCCUGACGUUGCUAA